This is a long non-coding RNA of Quercus robur (English oak), 527 nucleotides long. RefSeq lists it as uncharacterized. The transcript has 2 exons. NCBI's taxonomy places the organism in Eukaryota, Viridiplantae, Streptophyta, Magnoliopsida, Fagales, Fagaceae. The record is from RefSeq and is a predicted model, not a curated record.
CCUCUCAUGAUGAACAUUGUUGUUUAUUCAUAUGAUUUUCAUCAUGUUGUUUCGAGAAAUAUGGAAGCAGUCAAAGAAGAAAAACCACCAAAUAAAUUAAGUUUCCAUAGGAACUCAGGAAAGAAGAAAGUUAUAAAUUCAUUCGGAAUACUCAAUUGAGCAAGAAUUUAUAAGAGACCAACAUCGAUGAAGGGCGAGAAGAGUAUAAUAUUAAAGAACCACAACCUAGGACCUUCAUCAAGGCUUAGGAGUGGUGCUAGUCUGCUAGAUCGUCUCAACAAGUUGGUCUUCUCACAACAUGGAUUAAUGGGCUGUAAUCCAUACUUUUAGAAAAUAUACGUGGUAUAUUUUUGUAGUGUUUACUAUAUUCGUUCUCUCCUCAACAUUUCUAUUUUUGUCAUAAGAAGUCUGUAGUAUUCCAAACACACGUUUCUAUUUAAUCUCAGAGAUACUGUAAAAAGUAUGUGCGUUUGUUUCUAAAAAAAUAAAAUAAAAUCCAGAUACAUACACUAUCUGUUUUGCCUUAA